This 775-nucleotide ribosomal RNA is filed under the name uncultured Neocallimastigales. Its description in RNAcentral is "partial large subunit ribosomal RNA". It matches the Rfam family "Eukaryotic large subunit ribosomal RNA", at positions 24 to 646 of the family's 3401-position model. The record is from RNAcentral. Lineage: Eukaryota; Fungi; Neocallimastigomycota; Neocallimastigomycetes; Neocallimastigales.
UAUGUGAUCGUCUCUCGCAUAUCAAUAAGCGGAGGAAAAGAAACUAACAAGGAUUCCCCUAGUAACGGCGAGUGCAGCGGGAAGAGCUCAAAUUUGAAAUCUUAAAGGGUUUCCCUUUACGAAUUGUAGUUUAAAGAAGUGUUUUCUGUUGAGGUUUUGGUAAAAGUUCUUUGGAAUAGGACAUCAUAGAGGGUGAGAAUCCCGUAUUUGACCUUUACUUUCAACUUUGUGAUACACUUUCAAAGAGUCGGAUUGUUUGGGAAUGCAGUCCAAAAUGGGUGGUAAAUUUCAUCUAAAGCUAAAUAUUGGCGAGAGACCGAUAGCGAACAAGUACCGUGAGGGAAAGAUGAAAAGAACUUUGAAAAGAGAGUUAAACAGUACGUGAAAUUGUCAAAAGGGAAGCGUUUGACACCAGUGUUGUUUUUCUGAAAAUCAAUUAAAGAACUGUUUAUGCUAAGUUGUUUAGACUUUAUCAGCUAAUCUGCUUAGUUUUGAGCUUUUCUUUAAUGCACUUUUCAGUUAACAAGUCAACAUCAAUUUCUUUUGCUGUAAAAAAGCUUGAGGAAGGUGGCUUGAGAUUCGUCUUAAGUGUUUAUAGCCUCUUGCCUAUGCAGUCGGAGAGAUUGAGGUCUGCAGCGUAGAUCCUUCGGGGCUAAAUGCAUUUGUGCUAAGUUAUAGCAUUUUAUAGACAACUUGUUGACUAUGAUUUGUCUUGUAGCUUACUCGCUUAUGUUAUUUUACCUACGCUUAGGAUGUUGAUCUGUAGUGCGUGCGC